GACGAACGCUGGCGGCGUGCUUAACACAUGCAAGUCGAACGGAAAGGCCCUGCUUUUGUGGGGUGCUCGAGUGGCGAACGGGUGAGUAACACGUGAGUAACCUGCCCUUGACUUUGGGAUAACUUCAGGAAACUGGGGCUAAUACCGGAUAGGAGCUCCUGCUGCAUGGUGGGGGUUGGAAAGUUUCGGCGGUUGGGGAUGGACUCGCGGCUUAUCAGCUUGUUGGUGGGGUAGUGGCUUACCAAGGCUUUGACGGGUAGCCGGCCUGAGAGGGUGACCGGCCACAUUGGGACUGAGAUACGGCCCAGACUCCUACGGGAGGCAGCAGUGGGAAUAUUGCACAAUGGGCGGAAGCCCGAUGCAGCAACGCCGCGCGCGGGAUGACGGCCUUCGGGUUGUAAACCGCUUUCGCCUGUGACGAAGCGUGAGUGACGGUAAUGGGUAAAGAAGCACCGGCUAACUACGUG
Molecule: ribosomal RNA, 467 nt
Filed under: uncultured bacterium
Lineage: Bacteria
Description: partial 16S ribosomal RNA
Rfam family: Bacterial small subunit ribosomal RNA
Source: RNAcentral